AACGCUGGCGGCGUGCCUAAUGCAUGCAAGUCGAGCGACGCACACCGGAGGGGUAACCCACUGGUAUGACGGAGCGGCGAACGGGUGAGUAACACGUGAGUAACCUGCCCCACAGACCGGGACAGCCCAGGGAAACUUGGAUUAAUACCGGAUACCCUCGAAGGAUCGCAUGAUCUUCCGAGGAAAUGCCUUUGUGCUGUGGGAUGGACUCGCGACUUAUCAGCUAGUUGGUGGGGUAACGGCCUACCAAGGCGUCGACGAGUAGCUGGUCUGAGAGGACGAUCAGCCACACUGGGACUGAGACACGGCCCAGACUCCUACGGGAGGCAGCAGCAGGGAAUCUUGCGCAAUGGGCGAAAGCCUGACGCAGCAACGCCGCGUGGGGGAUGAAGGCCUUCGGGUUGUAAACCCCUUUCAGGAGGGAAGAAAUUGACGGUACCUCCAAAAGAAGCACCGGCCAACUACGUGCCAGCAGCCGCGGUAAUACGUAGGGUGCGAGCGUUAUCCGGAAUCAUUGGGCGUAAAGAGCUCGUAGGCGGUUCAGUAAGUCGGCUGUGAAA
Molecule: ribosomal RNA, 560 nt
Filed under: uncultured bacterium
Lineage: Bacteria
Description: bacterial SSU rRNA
Rfam family: Bacterial small subunit ribosomal RNA
Source: RNAcentral